Long non-coding RNA from Balaenoptera musculus (blue whale), 307 nucleotides. RefSeq lists it as uncharacterized. NCBI's taxonomy places the organism in Eukaryota, Metazoa, Chordata, Mammalia, Artiodactyla, Balaenopteridae. The transcript has 3 exons. The record is from RefSeq and is a predicted model, not a curated record.
AGCGAACAGCAUGUACAAAGAUCCAGAGGCUGGAGAGCACAUAGUUCAUUUAGGAAGGAGCAGAGGACAAAGUAUGGACCAUCGUGUCUCACGAUUUGCAGACACAGACGGCGGUGGUGCGCUACAACCCAGAAGAAGACGCAGCUCAUUUUCAGCGCCUCCAUGUGGGCAGGAUGUCACCUAUUUCUGCAAGAUGUCGAGGUUGUGGAACCCCCCAGACACCUUUUCAGAGGAUGAACUACUAGAUUGAAAUCAAGAGUGAACUGUUAGGGCUUCCCUGGUGGCACAGUCAUUAAGAAUCCUCCUG